CCUUCUUUCAUUUUUUUUAAGACAGGGUCUCACUCUGUAGCCCAGGCUGGCCUUGAACUCAGGGAUCCUCCUGCCUCAGCCUCCCAAGUGCUGGGAUUACAGCCAUGGGCCACCACGCUCAGCAAGAUGUUUCUGCUUGAAAUGCAGUUCCAGCUGCAGCAGGCCUGGUGGAGACAGACGGUGGCUGGCAAGAGUGGCACAGCCCAAGCCUGCAGCUCUGCCCCUCUGCACGGGCACCAUGUGGCUAGGAAUUUGUUUCUUGGUUGAGUAACAUUUUUGAUGAAAUAAGCAACAAAACGCAGGGCAUCAGAAUGACCGCUGCAGUAAUGAAACAAUUGAGAUGCCCACCAAAGACAGCUGGAAAUCGGACAACGAAGAUGGAGAAGACUUAACAGUUUUAAUAAACUGGAACCAAGUGACAACACGCGUAGUUCAGUUUUGCCGUGCUCUGGCCUGAGUUUGAAGCUGGAAUACUUGUAGCAGUUUGAGUAAGGAGUGUCUAGGAGUGGCUCUCUGAGUUUUUCCUGCUUGAAGUAGAAGAUUAGUAUUGUUUACAAUAUUCCACAAUUUGGGGCCGUUAUUUCAAGAAUUUUUCUGUGCCUGCUCUGCUCUCUG
This 615-nucleotide long non-coding RNA is filed under the name Heterocephalus glaber (naked mole-rat). RNAcentral's name for it is "lncRNA (ENSHGLG00100035899.1)". The record is from RNAcentral. Lineage: Eukaryota; Metazoa; Chordata; Mammalia; Rodentia; Bathyergidae.